CAACAGGGAUUGCCCUAGUAACGGCGAGUGAAGCGGCAACAGCUCAAAUUUGAAAUCUGGCUCUCGGGCCCGAGUUGUAAUUUGUAGAGGAUACUUUUGAUGCGGUGCCUUCCGAGUUCCCUGGAACGGGACGCCAUAGAGGGUGAGAGCCCCGUCUGGUUGGAUGCCAAAUCUCUGUAAAGUUCCUUCGACGAGUCGAGUAGUUUGGGAAUGCUGCUCUAAAUGGGAGGUAUAUGUCUUCUAAAGCUAAAUACCGGCCAGAGACCGAUAGCGCACAAGUAGAGUGAUCGAAAGAUGAAAAGCACUUUGAAAAGAGAGUUAAAAAGUACGUGAAAUUGUUGAAAGGGAAGCGUUUAUGACCAGACUUGGGCUUGGUUAAUCAUCUGGGGUUCUCCCCAGUGCACUUUUCCAGUCCAGGCCAGCAUCAGUUUUCCCCGGGGGAUAAAGACUUCGGGAAUGUGGCUCUCUUCGGGGAGUGUUAUAGCCCGUUGUGUAAUACCCUGGCGGGGACUGAGGUUCGCGCAUCUGCAAGGAU
RNAcentral lists this ribosomal RNA (535 nucleotides) under Fusarium verticillioides. Its description in RNAcentral is "eukaryotic LSU rRNA". It matches the Rfam family "Eukaryotic large subunit ribosomal RNA", at positions 66 to 624 of the family's 3401-position model. The record is from RNAcentral. Lineage: Eukaryota; Fungi; Ascomycota; Sordariomycetes; Hypocreales; Nectriaceae.